AGGUUGGUCCGCUUUUUGAGCGAGUAUCAAAACCCGCCCCGGCAUCACUGUGGGGAGUGUCAAUAUGCUUGAUUGCAUAUAGCGCAAGUCGCAGCUUUUACUUUGAGGAAAAUAGAGUGUUCACGGCAGGUCAAAGCCUCGAAUAUAUUAGCACGGAAUAAUGUUAUAGGACUCAUGUUCUUAUUUUGUUGGUUUCAGGAGCUAGAGUAAUGGUCGAUAGGGAUUGCUGGGGGCAUUUGUAUUAACGCGUCAGAGGUGGAAUUCUUGGAUUGCGUUACGACAAACUACUGCGAAAGCAUUUGUCAAGAAUGUUUUCAUUGAUCAAGAACGAAAGUAUGGGGAUCGAAGAUGAUUAGAUACCGUCGUAGUCUAUACCAUAAGCUAUGCCGACUAGGGAUUGGAGGUCGUUCUAUCUGUGACCCCUUCAGCACCUUACGAGAAAUCAGAGCCUUUGGGUUCCGGGGGGGGUAUGGUCGCAAGGCUGAAACUUAAAGGAAUUGACG
RNAcentral lists this ribosomal RNA (503 nucleotides) under uncultured marine eukaryote. Its description in RNAcentral is "bacterial SSU rRNA". It matches the Rfam family "Eukaryotic small subunit ribosomal RNA", at positions 651 to 1158 of the family's 1831-position model. The record is from RNAcentral.